This 379-nucleotide transfer-messenger RNA is filed under the name Betaproteobacteria bacterium. It matches the Rfam family "transfer-messenger RNA". From Rfam's summary of the family: Bacterial tmRNA, also known as 10Sa RNA or SsrA, is named for its dual tRNA and mRNA-like properties. Its role is to liberate the mRNA from a stalled ribosome. Lineage: Bacteria; Pseudomonadati; Pseudomonadota; Betaproteobacteria. The record is from RNAcentral.
GGGGCCGACCUGGUUUCGACGUGGGCAACAAAGCAGAACCGUGCAUACCGAGGGGCGGCGCACCUCGUAAAUACAACCGCAAACCAAAUAGUCGCAAACGACGAAAACUACGCAUUAGCUGCCUAAAAAACAGCCGCGCUCUGCACUGAUGGGCCUCAACGUCAGGUGGGGUUGUAGCAAUACAGUCUCACAGCGGAGUCAUUAACGAGGAUCGCUUUCUGCCGGGCUACUUGGUAGAAAGUUAAAACAAGGUAGCUCGCCUGACACCAGCCCGCCCAUUGGCGUGUGAAGGGUUAAAAAACAAAAAGUGGAAUCUAAGUAUGUAGAGCGGCCUGUGGAGGGCUUGCGGACGCGGGUUCGAUUCCCGCCGGCUCCACCA